CCUACGGGUGGCUGCAGUAGGGAAUAUUGCUCAAUGGGGGAAACCCUGAACCAGCAACGUCGCGUGGAGGAUGACGGUCCUAGGAUUGGUAACCCUCUUUGAUAGGGAAGUAAAAGACGCCACGUAUCGAAUUAGGACUGUCCAAUUCCGAGCCAGAAGCCGUGGUAACAUGGAGGGUGCCGCCGUUACCCGGAAUCACUGGGCGUAAAGGGGGUGUAGGCGGGUUAGCAAGUCAGAUGUGAAAUCCUAUGGCUUAACCCUAGAACUGCAGUUGAAACUGUUAUUCUAGAGUAUGGGAGAGGUAGGUGGAAUUCGUGGUGUAGGGGUGAAAUGCGUAGAGAUCAAGAAGAAC
This 352-nucleotide ribosomal RNA is filed under the name uncultured bacterium. RNAcentral's name for it is "partial 16S ribosomal RNA". It matches the Rfam family "Bacterial small subunit ribosomal RNA", at positions 338 to 707 of the family's 1533-position model. The record is from RNAcentral.